CGAAUCCUGGGUAUUGAUAAGAAGAGAGAAAAUCCGUUAGAUAGAUCCAUCAGUAAAUCAUACUUCAUUGUCAAUGAUAACGUCAGUGUCACCGGGGGAUUUCCUAAAGAAUGGCGAUAAGAGUUCAAGGCCGAACAAGAACCGCAGAAUUUUUUUUUAUCAAAAAAUCGAUAAUUACGUUUUGAUUAUCGAAUUAUAUUUUGCUCCAGGAUCUUUCUUUGCGUUUUACCCUGAAUUUUCCGGCCGGAAUAUUAUUUGAAUGAUCCCCGAGGGCAAAACCACGUUUCCGGAAUGUUUGAAACAAUUUACAAUUGACAUUGUCUAGUCAUGAGACUAGAAUGUUUGGAACGGACCAUUUAGGUGAAAUAUCACACCUGGAUCACAACGUUGAGUGAAUGCUUGUGUGUCUGCGGUAAUGACGCGUUCGUAUUGAUUGAUUAAUUGACAUUCUUCAGACAGAUAUCGAAAUUCUCAAUCGUACUUAAUCACUCCGGUUCGAUAUGCAUUGUUUGUCACUGAUUUUCCGCAUAACAGUCACGGAGAUCGUAAAAUCACACGUUUAUAUUCUGAUUAAACAAUUAAUAAAGAAAUUUAACGUCACUGAGGAUACAUUGUUACUGUUAUUGUCACGUAUUUGCAUUGUUACGCAUUCGGGGCUUAAAUUCUCAAGAAGAAAAAAAAACGAGAUACGGGAAUGUGUAUUUUUUACUACUAGUCGGCAAAUGAUACCGAGAUAUCGCGUCUACCUGGUCUUCCCAGUGUAAACAUCUCAUUUGAUUACUAGUUCGUUGAUUAUUAUUAUCGCACUCCCUGAGAGAGAGACUAAUUCAUUGAAAUAUUUACUAGGUAGGACCAGACGCCGUCAUGACCUACCUUGAGGCAGUGAUUUAUUACAACGAUCCAGAUACACAUAGUCUUUUGGAAAUAAAGAAAAAAACAAAAAUUUUGAAAUACGGCGAUAGAGUGAUACAUCUCUAGUUUCUCAGGUGUACAAAUUCAUUGAUUUUGAUUUUACUCACCCGUAACGGUGAUUGCAUGCUCGAAGUCGGCACCUCCGUCGGCCAGGAAGUCGAGCCCUUAAAAUAAUUGAAAAAACAAUUGUUAUUAAUUAUCAUCAUAAUUAAUUGUUAUUAAUUAUCAUCAUCGGGAAUCAUUUCAAUCCGAUAGAACUAUCCACUCGUUCAACUCAGUGAAACUUUUGGACAUUGUGGCCUCGUCACUAGUCAAAUACUUCGUACUGGGGAUCAGUGUGGAGAGGUACCGUCUUUUAUAUUUCUACCUGGUGAGACUAGAGAUAAGAUUGUAGAAAAAUUUUGGAUGCUUUUGUUUGGAUUGGACCAUGGGGAUUAUUAGGCAGUAAAUAUGUUUUUCAGGUAGAAAAAUGUCCCAGGGACGAAAGUAUUUUGUGUAAAAAACCCAGCAAAUUCGUUAAAAAAGUAUAUUGAUGUUGGAUUUGAACUAAUCUAUUGGUACUUUCAUUAGAGAUUUUAUGAUUGCCCAUUAGAUAAAAUAUUGACCGAAAUCCACGGGAUUUGAUGCUCAUCAACCAUUUUUUUUAUUGCGAUAUUUUUAUUUCUAUUCUUUUCCUCGAUAUUCUUCUUCUUUAUCAUUUAAUCAAUCAAUAAAAUUACGCCACCGUCACCUGAAUUUUCUACUGAACAUUUCCAUCGAAGAAAUCUCCCAUUGACUUUGACUGUGCGCGGUCAUCACUCCCUCGAUCAAUUGUCCAAUCAGUUCAAUGGAUUAACCAAUACACUCACGAAUAAUCAGUAUAUGGAAGUACUACGAAUCGGUAGACAGUAAGAAUCUUGGAAUCUUAUCGUAUCUAUCGAUGACUCCAUCAUUUCAGUUAUAAAUAAUUGUUAUCGAGAGAAAUAAUGUAUCCGGUAGCUAUUUUCGUACUCGAGAAUGGCUACCUUUGUAUCGAUAAGAGCUUAAAUUUCUACGAUUAAUAUUAUCGAAGAGCUUUGCGUACGUCAAUAAAUCAAUUGAUGGCGGUUCACAAUCUCUGAAAUGUCCGUCGUUGUGAAGACGGAGGCAUCAAUAUACUCAAAUGAGUCUACGACAUCAAUGCAGAUAUCACACGAUCCGUGACACAGCAGACGUCACGGUUGCGCUUGAACUUGAGGUUAUUGGAGAAUGGAGUAUUGCACUGAGAUAAACAUCGAUACGUUCACUGAUUUCUCCUAUUGGUUCACCUGCCACGUCACGAGGAAACCCAAACUCUGCACUUCGGCAAAUUAAAAAAAAAUUUUGGAUAUGAAAAUAUUAUAUGCAUAAACCCAGAAAUGACUAAUAUUUUUAUCACAAAUAUAAGUAAAAUUGCUAAUUUUUCCGACGACCUCAAUUGGCAUUUUGUUAAAAUCAGAUUAAUCUCCUUCAAAACUAAUUCUCAAAUUGAAUUCGCCUAUUUUACUCAUUUUCCAAGGAGAUUUAAAAAAAAUUAGCGCACCUUUUUUUGAUGAAAAUCUUUUCACAUUUUCUUCUCAUUAUGGAAACGGAGGGACAUUCGACACAUUCCAAGCGUGGAAUUCUUCCUGAUCCAUAAAUUUUGUAAUUCAAUUUUCGAAAAAAGAUUUAAUUAAUGGGAUUUUUGCAGAUGAGAAAUUUUAUCACAGAUAUUAUUUUCAGACAUUUCUUGGUGGAACAACUUAUAACCGAAAUAAAUCUAAUAAAUCACGGAGAAGCCACUUUCAUUCCGUUUUAUCAAUUCACUGUCGAAUGUAAUCAGGAUUGAACACCACUGACAGGUAUCUUCAUUCGUCAAUCGUGUCCAGCGCCCAAUCACCCAAGACUAAAUAUUUGUAUUGACAAUCUCUCAGUCCCUCUCACAUCGGCACAUGCGAGUAAUCUCGAAGUGAUUAAAUCACGUGAAAAGCCGAUCACCAUGACAAGAUACAAAAUAUUUACUCACACAAUAGUACCACAACACCAUAAACAAUUCAAUAAUUAAAUAGUCCGACUCGGUGUUUCACGAAAGACAUUAGAAGACUUUAAUUAGAACGCAGAUACUCAAGGGGAUUGAAGAGACUCCGGCACUAGAACUGUAAACUCAAUUGGUUUUUCUUCCAUUGUGAAAUAAAUUUCACGGAGGGAACGACUUCCGUUUUCUUGGCUCUCGUCCCUCUACUCGUCUUUUCCGCUCUAUCUCUGAUUGAACUGUAAUUGUCAUCGUUUCUGGGCCGAUACGCUCCCAAUUGGUAUUUUCAAACUAACUCGAAGAAUAAAAAUCAAAUAACCGUCUGGAGAAUAUUGAGUGAACAGAGGGUGGAGUCGCACAUUUAUUCUUUUUUUUAUUAUCUUAAAAAUUUUACUGAUCAUGAGAUGUGAUUGGGAUCAAUGCGGUGUCGGUCUAAAGCGUGAUAAGUAGCUUGGAAAAAUGCCGCAGUAAAAAAUUCCG
Molecule: long non-coding RNA, 3400 nt
Organism: Diachasmimorpha longicaudata
Lineage: Eukaryota; Metazoa; Arthropoda; Insecta; Hymenoptera; Braconidae
Exons: 4
Source: RefSeq, a predicted model, not a curated record